GGGACACGUGGUAUCCUGUCUGAAUAUGGGGGGACCAUCCUCCAAGGCUAAAUACUCCUGACUGACCGAUAGUGAACCAGUACCGUGAGGGAAAGGCGAAAAGAACCCCGGCGAGGGGAGUGAAAAAGAACCUGAAACCGUGUACGUACAAGCAGUGGGAGCCUCUUAAUGGGGUGACUGCGUACCUUUUGUAUAAUGGGUCAGCGACUUAUAUUCUGUAGCAAGGUUAACCGAAUAGGGGAGCCGAAGGGAAACCGAGUCUUAACUGGGCGUUAAGUUGCAGGGUAUAGACCCGAAACCCGGUGAUCUAGCCAUGGGCAGGUUGAAGGUUGGGUAACACUAACUGGAGGACCGAACCGACUAAUGUUGAAAAAUUAGCGGAUGACUUGUGGCUGGGGGUGAAAGGCCAAUCAAACCGGGAGAUAGCUGGUUCUCCCCGAAAGCUAUUUAGGUAGCGCCUCGUGAAUUCAUCUCCGGGGGUAGAGCACUGUUUCGGCAAGGGGGUCAUCCCGACUUACCAACCCGAUGCAAACUGCGAAUACCGGAGAAUGUUAUCACGGGAGACACACGGCGGGUGCUAACGUCCGUCGUGAAGAGGGAAACAACCCAGACCGCCAGCUAAGGUCCCAAAGUCAUGGUUAAGUGGGAAACGAUGUGGGAAGGCCCAGACAGCCAGGAUGUUGGCUUAGAAGCAGCCAUCAUUUAAAGAAAGCGUAAUAGCUCACUGGUCGAGUCGGCCUGCGCGGAAGAUGUAACGGGGCUAAACCAUGCACCGAAGCUGCGGCAGCGACACUAUGUGUUGUUGGGUAGGGGAGCGUUCUGUAAGCCUGUGAAGGUGUACUGUGAGGUAUGCUGGAGGUAUCAGAAGUGCGAAUGCUGACAUAAGUAACGAUAAAGCGGGUGAAAAGCCCGCUCGCCGGAAGACCAAGGGUUCCUGUCCAACGUUAAUCGGGGCAGGGUGAGUCGACCCCUAAGGCGAGGCCGAAAGGCGUAGUCGAUGGGAAACAGGUUAAUAUUCCUGUACUUGGUGUUACUGCGAAGGGGGGACGGAGAAGGCUAUGUUGGCCGGGCGACGGUUGUCCCGGUUUAAGCGUGUAGGCUGGUUUUCCAGGCAAAUCCGGAAAAUCAAGGCUGAGGCGUGAUGACGAGGCACUACGGUGCUGAAGCGACAAAUGCCCUGCUUCCAGGAAAAGCCUCUAAGCAUCAGGUAACAUCAAAUCGUACCCCAAACCGACACAGGUGGUCAGGUAGAGAAUACCAAGGCGCUUGAGAGAACUCGGGUGAAGGAACUAGGCAAAAUGGUGCCGUAACUUCGGGAGAAGG
Molecule: ribosomal RNA, 1323 nt
Filed under: Escherichia coli
Lineage: Bacteria; Pseudomonadati; Pseudomonadota; Gammaproteobacteria; Enterobacterales; Enterobacteriaceae
Description: partial 23S ribosomal RNA
Rfam family: Bacterial large subunit ribosomal RNA
Source: RNAcentral